GUGGGGAAUUUUGGACAAUGGGGGCAACCCUGAUCCAGCCAUUCCGCGUGAGUGAAGAAGGCCUUCGGGUUGUAAAGCUCUUUCGGCAGGAACGAAACGGUGAGCUCUAACAUAGCUCGCUAAUGACGGUACCUGAAGAAGAAGCACCGGCUAACUACGUGCCAGCAGCCGCGGUAAUACGUAGGGUGCGAGCGUUAAUCGGAAUUACUAGGCGUAAAGCGUGCGCAGGCGGUUGCGUAAGACAGGUGUGAAAUCCCCGGGCUUAACCUGGGAACUGCGCUUGUGACUGCACGGCUAGAGUAUGGCAGAGGGGGGUGGAAUUCCACGUGUAGCAGUGAAAUGCGUAGAGAUGUGGAGGAACACCGAUGGCGAAGGCAGCCCCCUGGGCCAAUACUGACGCUCAUGCACGAAAGCGUGGGGAGCAAACAGGAUUAGAAACCCCAGUAGUCC
This 450-nucleotide ribosomal RNA is filed under the name uncultured bacterium. RNAcentral describes it as "bacterial SSU rRNA". It matches the Rfam family "Bacterial small subunit ribosomal RNA", at positions 354 to 796 of the family's 1533-position model. The record is from RNAcentral.